This 594-nucleotide ribosomal RNA is filed under the name Triticum aestivum (bread wheat). RNAcentral describes it as "partial small subunit ribosomal RNA". The record is from RNAcentral. Lineage: Eukaryota; Viridiplantae; Streptophyta; Magnoliopsida; Poales; Poaceae.
AUGUUGGCUUUCCGGGAUACUUUAGAGGUAUGUGCGCUUGUUGAUCUCAGUUUUUCGGGCUUACCGUUUACUUAUGAUAACAAGCAGCGUGGAAGAAGGAAUGUGCGGUUGAGGCUCGACAGGGCUAUGGCGGACAACAGGUGGCGGGAUAUUUUCUCGGAAGCUCGGGUGGUUCACAAUGUUUUGCCAUGCCCGGACCAUGUGACCCUCGUACUGGAGUGUAUAAAGGAGGAUACUGCUGCUAAUACCUGUUGUAGCCUGCGUCGGUAUGAGGCCUUCUGGGAGCGUGAUGCAUCUUUACCUGAGAAGGUUGCUGAUGUGUGGGAAGAAGCUGGCCAAAAGUUCAGUUUGGGUGAUGUCCAGGAUGGUCUGACGAAACUGAUGGUAGAGCUACAUGCAUGGAGCAAGAAAAAGUUUGGUAACAUCACACAGGAGCUUGAGAAGUCUAGAAGCCAGUUGGAAGAAUUGAUGAAUAUGAUGUUGGGGAACAUAGCAGAAAUUCAAAAUUUUCCUAUGUGUCACCAAGAUCUACCUAUGGAGAAACCAGCAACGAGGGGAAGGAGGGUGCAUCUACAUACCCUUGUAGAUCGCUAA